Molecule: ribosomal RNA, 496 nt
Filed under: uncultured bacterium
Lineage: Bacteria
Description: partial 16S ribosomal RNA
Rfam family: Bacterial small subunit ribosomal RNA
Source: RNAcentral
AUGAACGCUGGCGGCGUGCCUAAUACAUGCAAGUCGAGCGAACAGACGAGGAGCUUGCUCCUCUGACGUUAGCGGCGGACGGGUGAGUAACACGUGGAUAACCUACCUAUAAGACUGGGAUAACUUCGGGAAACCGGAGCUAAUACCGGAUAAUAUAUUGAACCGCAUGGUUCAAUAGUGAAAGACGGUUUUGCUGUCACUUAUAGAUGGAUCCGCGCCGCAUUAGCUAGUUGGUAAGGUAACGGCUUACCAAGGCAACGAUGCGCAGCCGACCUGAGAGGGUGAUCGGCCACACUGGAACUGAGACACGGUCCAGACUCCUACGGGAGGCAGCAGUAGGGAAUCUUCCGCAAUGGGCGAAAGCUUGACGGAGCAACGCCGCGUGAGUGAUGAAGGUCUUCGGAUCGUAAAACUCUGUUAUUAGGGAAGAACAAAUGUGUAAGUAACUAUGCACGUCUUGACGGUACCUAAUCAGAAAGCCACGGCUAACUACGUG